RNAcentral lists this non-coding RNA (263 nucleotides) under Fervidicola ferrireducens. Its description in RNAcentral is "T-box sequence". It matches the Rfam family "T-box leader". From Rfam's summary of the family: Uncharged tRNA acts as the effector for transcription antitermination of genes in the T-box leader family. T-boxes are found upstream of many aminoacyl-tRNA synthetase genes and some amino acid biosynthetic genes usually in Gram-positive bacteria. The anticodon of a specific tRNA base pairs to a specifier sequence within the T-box motif, and the NCCA acceptor tail of the tRNA base pairs to a conserved bulge in the T-box antiterminator hairpin. Lineage: Bacteria; Bacillati; Bacillota; Clostridia; Thermosediminibacterales; Thermosediminibacteraceae. The record is from RNAcentral.
UAAACGGCGAUGAAGAGGACAGUAGGUAACUUCCCGAGGUUACAGAGAGUCGGGCAAGGUGAGAGCCGAUACCGAGGGAUUUACCGAAAAUCACCUCCGAGCUGCCGGGGUGAAACUGAGUAGCUCCGGUCGGGGCCCUUUUGUAGGGAAUAGGCACCCGUUAAAGUGCCGGGUAUCGGACCGUGAGGUCCCGUACCUGCCGAGGUCCGCACCGUGAGGUGCGGAUGAAGAGGGUGGUACCGCGAAGGCCCUUCGCCCCUUAU